Small nucleolar RNA from Aotus nancymaae (Ma's night monkey), 217 nucleotides. The record is from Ensembl. NCBI's taxonomy places the organism in Eukaryota, Metazoa, Chordata, Mammalia, Primates, Aotidae.
AAGACUAUACUUUCAGGGAUCAUUUCUAGAGUGUGUUACUAGAGAAGUUUCUCUGAAUGUGUAGAGCACCGGAAGCCACGAGGAGGAGGUGCAGUGUUCUCUCCUGAGCGUGAAGCUGGCUCUCGGUGUUGCUUUAGUGCAACUGUCAUUUGCCAUUGAUGAUCGUUCUUCUCUUCCUUUGUGAGAGUAAGAGGGAGAGGACACAGUCUGAGUGGUU